This is a long non-coding RNA of Polypterus senegalus (gray bichir), 605 nucleotides long. RefSeq lists it as uncharacterized. Lineage: Eukaryota; Metazoa; Chordata; Cladistia; Polypteriformes; Polypteridae. The record is from RefSeq and is a predicted model, not a curated record. The transcript has 3 exons.
UGGCCGCAAAUGUUCAGCUAUCAGGCGCUACAUUUACUACGGACAGUUCAGCUGAACACCCCUGAAGAUGAAUUCAGAAUCCUGAAUAUUUCUAUAUUUCCCCACCACUGGACACAAGGCCUCAUUAAAGAAAACUGCAAAUCGUGAGGUUUCUUGGAGGUGUUGUUGUGGAUGCUGUCAUGCACAUUGCCGCAGGUGUGGAUGAGCACGCGCAUGUGAAUCUCAAGCGGUAUCACAGCAUCAACGCACAGGUGGACAUGAUUAUGAAGCGUCCUGUCAUAGCCAGCAUAUCACCCUGAAGUGUGUGUGUGACUUGGUCUUUCUAUCUCAGUGAUGUUGAAAAGUGGCAACAAUUACAUGCAGCUUAGCACAUUUAGGAGAACAUCCUGGACAAGGAGGAGGAUGAUUUCUUACCCAGAUGGGAGGCCAGAGUGGAACAACAGACGGACUGGCUGUUGGGAUGGAAAAAAAUGUUGUGCCCGGCUGGUGUAAUAUAAUAAAUGGACCCGUGGGAGCUGAGAGUCGGGAGCUGUUCCACCUACCAUAUUCCAGGUGACAACAACAACAACAACAACAUUUAUUUAUAUAGCACAUUUUCAUACAAA